AUAUUUAGAUGGACUAACCUAUUUCUUUAAGGAUUCUAAGAAUCAUUCUAGUAAUGACAUGUGAUGUGGCUACAAAAAAAUGUUGUAAUGCUUCUCAAAUAAUAUAUAAGGGAUUGCCUCUAUCAUCACCCUCUUUGUCAAUACCGGUCCAAAUAUUGCCAGCUUUUCUUAUGACCCUAAGUCAAAAUAGAGAGAUUGUAUGCUAAUAUAAGAAAAAUAAUAAACAAAAAAAAAACGCACAGUAGAAUUUUUUUACAGUCACUUAUGUAGCUUAUGCUAAGGGCCGGCAAUGCUCUUUCUCCAUCUUCUCCCUCUGUAUAUAGUUUAUUUCCCUCCAUAGAAAACUACGAAACAGACAAACAAGAUUUGAGAUUCAUCAUAUAGAAAACCGGAUGGCAAUAUGCCAUCGGGCUGUCUUCAGAAUACACGUGUACUUUGCAUGUGAUCAUGAGUUAAGCAUAUGCACCAACAACGGUCUGUGACACAACAUGUCACAUGUUGCCUUAUACUUGCAAGCUGUGUGAGAUAACUAUUCUUUUCAGGUGGAGAAAACCAACACUUCACUUUUAAUUUGCCUUAAAAUUUAAAAAGGAUCUCCAGCCAAUAGAAAGUUCGGUAAUAACAUUGCGUAGAGCCGUUUUUUUUAAAUUCAAUCCGCUAUAGUUUAUUUAGAACUCUGUACAAUAUAGCAUUUUCGAAAUUAUUCUUUGGAAUAUUGAUUAUCUUACUUUCCAGUGUACUGUAGAAUUUAUCAAUAGACCGCACAGAGAUAACUAAAGCAUUUGGGCAUCAAUGACAACGUUUUCGCACCAAGGUCAUUUGUUAUCAUGUUUUAUACGUACAGAAAAAAAAUCAUAUAUGUACUUGGGGAUACUAUUUCGACUUUUAUGUACUUUACUUAAUUAUAUGGUGUUUUUUUUUUUUUUUGAUAAAAGGUUUUCAAUUAAUUAUAUGGUGUUUGUGUCCGAUAUCCAUAUAUACGCUACCAUUCGACAUAAUAAUAAACAUCCAUUGUCAACUGCUUUAUUUUUAAUUGUUUUUUAGAGUACUUGUUGGUACUGGCCCAGCGCUGUUGUAUGGUAUUGCCGUAUGGCUGGUUUAGACGUAUCAGGGUGCGGGAGUCUGCGAAUACAUAUAAUUUUGGUUUUAGGUGUUAUUAAGUAAUUCAUACGACUAAAACACAGUAAAAAUAAAUGUAUUUACAGGAAACUUAUGAACCGGUUUUGUAAACAAAUUUUAUAAACUGGUUUUGUAAAUGAGUUACAAUAUUAUUUCAAUAUAUGUAUUUAAUAAUUUAAUUUAUAUUUUUGCAAAUAGAUUUCUAUUUAAUUUAUUAUAUAUAUAUACAUAUAUAUAUAUAUAUAUAUUUUUGAAAUAGCCAUGACUAAACCAUGACUAAAUAGUGGCUAGAUAUAGCAAAAAUUAUUUUAUGGCAAAGCUGUGGAUAAAAUAGCUACAAAAAUGUUGUGAUAAAAAUAUGAAAAAAUAACCACAUUAGCCAUAAUUUGUUUCUAGCCGCAUAUUUUUUUAAUCGUGGAUCGUGGCUGUUUAUUUUGCAUAGGCACGCUUUUUGGCGUGGCUAUAUCAAAUAUUUCUAGUAGUAUUAAUUAUUAAAAAAAAAAUAGUUACAUAAAAAUAUAAAACAAAAUUUAAAUAUUUUUAAAAAUUCUAAAAAAAUCUUAUAAGAUGUUUUAUAUUUAAAAUAGUUAACUAAUUUCAUUAACAUAAAAAAUUCUGUCGAAAUAUUUGUUUUAUUAUUAUUUAAUAAUUAAAUAACUAAUUUAAAAAAUAUAAAUAAAUAAUGUGUUUAUAAUUUUACUUUUAAAAUAUAAUAAAAGUGAAAAUUUCAUUUUAAUAUAGUAUUUAAUUAUAUAAUUUAAAUAUUUAAAAUAGAAAUACAUAAAUUUUAUAAAUAUUUAGGUUAUUUUCUUUUAAUAACUUUAAAACAUGCACUAUAUAAAUACUUUAACUAUUAUUUUAUUCUUUAUUUAUAAAUUAGGUUUCGGGGUUAGAGGGUUGGUUUAGUAUUAAUAAGAGUUUAAAGUAUAAUAAGACAAAAGUAUAGGUCUGUAAACACAAAUCUAUUAUCAAUAUGACCUAAUUAGACAAUUCAUUUUCAAUUUUCUACUGCACAUGAGACAAAAAUUCUAUGCCAUAUGAGAAACUUAUUUUGUAGAGUUUAAAUUUGGUAGAGUUUUAACUUUAUUUUGAAAAUAGAACUUUUAAAGUCUA
This is a long non-coding RNA of Brassica rapa (field mustard), 2232 nucleotides long. RefSeq lists it as uncharacterized. The record is from RefSeq and is a predicted model, not a curated record. NCBI's taxonomy places the organism in Eukaryota, Viridiplantae, Streptophyta, Magnoliopsida, Brassicales, Brassicaceae.